This 30-nucleotide non-coding RNA is filed under the name Rattus norvegicus (Norway rat). Lineage: Eukaryota; Metazoa; Chordata; Mammalia; Rodentia; Muridae. The record is from RNAcentral.
UAGUAUAUGUUUCAGUGUGUCUGUGUCCGC